GCGGGCUGAGAGACAGACAGAGAGAGAGAGAGAGAGCUGGGUGUGUGGAGAGGAAGCGGCGGGAGAGGACAAAAACAAACUGCUCCCAGCCCUAUCCUGAUGCGGGGAGACGGAGAUAAGGAAAAAAGAAGAGGCACCACCCCUCCUGGCUGCUUGGCCCUCACCACCCCCCCACCUCCAUCUCCUGCCACGACUUACUCAGUGGAGAUCUGGCUGACCAGCUCGAAGGAGCCAAACCCAGCAGCUGCAAAACUUUCUUCGUAUCUUCCCAUCUUGAUGGCUCGAAGCCACUCACCCACAGAGCCAAAAGCUGAGUAGUGAGGCUGCCGCUGAUCCAGGAGGGGGUGCGAGGCCCUGGGAGGCAAGGAUGGGGAGGACGCACUGAGAACCAGCCUGUGUCAGGGUGGGGACGUAGAGCCCAGCCCUGGAGAGGUGGACAGGGACCAUCCCACAUACCACCAAAGGGACGGAUACUUCUCGGGGGGAAGCGAGGUUCUCAGGGGAUGGCAGAGUGCAGGAAAGAGGGCCCAUCCUCUGGGGUCCUCACCCGCCAUUCUCGCGGGCCACGAUUUUGAGGCUGGCAGGGUUCCGGAUCAUCUUGUCGAGGGCACUGACCACCUGGGGGAAGCGGGGCCGUGCAUUCCGGUCUUUCUGCCAACAGUCCAGCAUAAGCUGAUGCAGGGAGGUGGGGCAGUCUGGGGGCGGGGGCAACCGGUAGUCCUGUUCAAUGGCAUUGAUCACCUGGAAUGACAGGUAGAAGCACUGGGUAAGGACGUCAGGGAAAACGAGGCUGCCAAAGGACCCCAGGGAAAUGGCGACUUAACAGACGCUGGGAUGGCUGCUACAGCCCCCCAAGAAGGGCAAAUCUGGGGGGUGCUCCUGGCCAGGGCUGAGGCCACUGGCUGUGGCUCAACGUCCCAGAAGGUCUUGAGCUAUGAUCCAGACAUGUAACUUCCCAAGGCUGCCCUCCAUCACUGUGUCCUUCUGUAACCAGAUAGACUGUAUCAAACUCUUGGAUACAGAGAUCAGCUCGUCACAGUGCCACCCUCACCACCUCAAGGACCAAGCAGUGAUGAGCUCUCUGAGAACCCACCCCCCCCAACACCGCCAUAUCCCAAGAGAGAGGAUGUUCCAGGAAAGCUUGGUAGGACACUUACAUCCUGAUUGCUCAUAUCCCAGUAUGGCCGUUCCCCAAAUGACAUGACCUCCCACAUCACAAUCCCAUAGCUCCAGGCAUCACUGGCAGAUGUGAACUUGCGGAACGCAAUGGCCUCAGGGGCUGUCCAUCGGAUGGGAAUCUUUCCUCCCUAAAGAUAGGGGAGGAAAAGCCUCACCAGAGAGCUCGUGUAGGUGGGAUCAGAAGAGUUCUCCUCCAGGAAUCGGGAGAGGCCAAAGUCUGAAACCUUGCAGACGAGGUUGCUGUUGACCAGGAUGUUGCGGGCAGCCAGGUCUCGGUGGACGUAGCUCAUCUCAGCAAGACCCAACUCACAGACCCACGUGUAGGACAGGCCUGCUGACAUCCCAGCAACAGAGCGCUGACAGUUACGAGUGUGCUCUGAAGCCACCCUUCUACAGGUGGAGAUGCGUGUGUUCGUGCUGAUCCUGCCACAGUCUCGCUCAGCCCUCUUGGACCAACUGUAUGCCGGAUGCAAGAGAACAGUGAGGAAUCGGGUGUGAUCAGUGACCACAGCACCAAAACCAAGGUCUAAAGCCCGACCUUGAGCUUUAUAGAGUUGGCUCUCACCAGGAAACACAGAGAAACAAGCUAGAUGACCCCACAAGGAAGAAUCCGAUAAAUCCAGAAGAUAAGACAUUCAAGUGGACAAGUGGCCCAGCCCUUCAGUGUAUCAGAACCCCAACAAGGGACUGUCCUGGAUGUAGAAAAGGCUCAAAACAAUAAUCACAGGUGCAAUGCUUGAUCCUGAACUAGAUGCUGGGACAUUUUGGGGACAACUAGAGAAAUAUGAGCAUCAAGUGGGCAUUAGGUGAUACCAAGGAAUUGUUGUAAUUCUGUUAAAUGCAAUGUUACUUUGCUAUGUAGAAAAACGUUCUGGGGGCUUCCCUGGUGGUCUAAUGGUUAAGACGCUGCAUUUCCACUGCAGGGGAAGCGGCUUCGAUCCCCGGUCAGGGAAAUUCCGCAUGCCGCGUGGAGUGGCCAAAAAAAAAAAAAAGUUUUGGCUUUUUACAGAAGAUGCAUAGUAAAGUUUAAAAAAUAAUAAAAUUUCAUACAAUUUUGUUAAGGUAGCAAAAAUGAGUUCUCUCUCAUUUCUAUGAUCCUGUUUAAUUUUUUUCACAUCUG
Balaenoptera acutorostrata (minke whale) is the source of this 2299-nucleotide long non-coding RNA. RefSeq lists it as uncharacterized. The transcript has 6 exons. NCBI's taxonomy places the organism in Eukaryota, Metazoa, Chordata, Mammalia, Artiodactyla, Balaenopteridae. The record is from RefSeq and is a predicted model, not a curated record.